AUGCAUGUGUUAGUCGUGCGGAACCUAAAGCUGGUGCUGGUGGUUAAUCAAACUGUUUGUGACGUGCCCCCUAGUAUAAGUGUUCUGGCGUGUUCCAUGGGAUCCCUUUGCUUGCAACGAGAGGAGUGCCACGUCAGUUCCAUGAUAAACAAAGAAAAGACGGAGUGCUACGUCAGAACCACUGCCAUGCAUGCACUGCACGCAACGACCGUUAUUGACCGCAAAAAUUGCCUUUUCUUCUGUCUACUUUUGACAAGUCUCGGUAGACAGAGAUUUCGUUAUGUCUCAGUUGAUACUACAUUCCUGUCAUCUUGCAUAGAGAUUCAUGCAAAAUUUUCUUUUCGUUUCACAUUUUCUUUUUAUAUGUUAUAUCAUUUAACUGAGCUAAAAAAUCUAAAUAGAAAGAAGAAGAAAAAGACAGAAAAAUGA
Molecule: ribosomal RNA, 429 nt
Filed under: Triticum aestivum (bread wheat)
Lineage: Eukaryota; Viridiplantae; Streptophyta; Magnoliopsida; Poales; Poaceae
Description: partial small subunit ribosomal RNA
Source: RNAcentral